GCUGGGCGCGCGGUGGCACAUGCCUGUAGUCCCAGCUACUUGGGAGGCCGAGGCAGGAGGAUCCCUUGAGUCCGGGAGUUCUGCGCUGUAGUGUGCUAUGCCAAUCAGGUGUCCACACUAAGUUUGGCAUCAAUAUGUUGGCCUCUAGGGACUACCAGGUUACCUAAGGAGGGGUGAACUGGCACAGGUCAAAACUCCAGUGCUGAGCAGUAGAGGGAUCACCACUGCACUCUAGCCUGGACAACUAAGCAAGACUCCAUCUCU
RNAcentral lists this signal recognition particle RNA (264 nucleotides) under Jaculus jaculus (lesser Egyptian jerboa). RNAcentral's name for it is "Metazoan signal recognition particle RNA (ENSJJAG00000002848.1)". It matches the Rfam family "Metazoan signal recognition particle RNA". From Rfam's summary of the family: The signal recognition particle (SRP) is a universally conserved ribonucleoprotein. It is involved in the co-translational targeting of proteins to membranes. The eukaryotic SRP consists of a 300-nucleotide 7S RNA and six proteins: SRPs 72, 68, 54, 19, 14, and 9. Lineage: Eukaryota; Metazoa; Chordata; Mammalia; Rodentia; Dipodidae. The record is from RNAcentral.